AUGUACCCCCCACACACACUCACCACAGGGCCAGGUGUGCAAUGGCUGUAAUCAGCAGCCUCCUCAAUAGUAUCUUCAGCACUGGAGCUUGUAUGGUUUGUCCGCAAGGACCUUGGAGACAGUU
Molecule: small nucleolar RNA, 124 nt
Filed under: Sorex araneus (European shrew)
Lineage: Eukaryota; Metazoa; Chordata; Mammalia; Eulipotyphla; Soricidae
Description: Small nucleolar RNA SNORA70 (ENSSARG00000018494.1)
Rfam family: Small nucleolar RNA SNORA70
About the family: snoRNA U70 seems to be exclusive to mammals and is a member of the H/ACA class of snoRNA which contain H (ANANNA) and ACA box motifs. H/ACA box snoRNAs are involved in the conversion of uridines to pseudouridines (5-ribosyluracil) a constituent of structural RNAs (transfer, ribosomal, small nuclear, and small nucleolar).
Source: RNAcentral